Molecule: long non-coding RNA, 264 nt
Filed under: Lathyrus oleraceus (garden pea)
Lineage: Eukaryota; Viridiplantae; Streptophyta; Magnoliopsida; Fabales; Fabaceae
Description: Pisum sativum (pea) long non-coding RNA (PSAT_LNC013292)
Source: RNAcentral
UAAAUUGCAUGCUCUUUUCGACAAGACGCGUCAUGCUGACCCAAUACACCUCGUAGACCCCUUGAAGGCCGUCAAAUACCAGAUUAACAAUUGUUCCUUCCGCAGGAGGCAUCAGAAUCAGAGGUUCCUGCAACUUUUCUUUUAUUUUUUCAAUGCCCCUUGGCAAUCAUUAUUUCGCCUGACCGUUCGAUCUCUUUUUUUCACAGCUUGAAUUAUAGGUUCGCACGUGGCUGUUAGAUAAGAUGCGAACCAUGACAGGUAGUU